This 545-nucleotide ribosomal RNA is filed under the name uncultured crenarchaeote. RNAcentral's name for it is "bacterial SSU rRNA". It matches the Rfam family "Archaeal small subunit ribosomal RNA", at positions 575 to 1127 of the family's 1478-position model. The record is from RNAcentral. Lineage: Archaea; Thermoproteati; Thermoproteota.
CGGGGGAUACUGUUCGGCUUGGGGGUGAGAGAGGCCAACGGUAUUUCCGGGGUAGGGGUGAAAUCCUAUAAUCCCGGGAGGACCACCAGUGGCGAAGGCUGUUGGCUAGAUCAUGCCCGACGGUGAGGGAUGAAAGCUUGGGGAGCGAACCGGAUUAGAUACCGGGUAGUCAAGCUGUAAACGAUGCAGGCUAGGUGUUAGGGCGGCCACGUGCCGCUCUAGUGCCGCAGGGAAGCUGUUAAGCCUGCCGCCUGGGGAGUACGGCUGCAAGGCUGAAACUUAAAGGAAUUGGCGGGGGAGCACCACAAGGGGUGAAGCUUGCGGUUUAAUUGGAGUCAACGCCGGAAAUCUCACCGGGGGCGACAGCAGGAUGAAAGCCAGAUUAAAGGUCUUGCCAGACGAGCUGAGAGGAGGUGCAUGGCCGUCGCCAGUUCGUGCCGUGAGGUGUCCUGUUAAGUCAGGCAACGAUCGAGACCCGCAUCUCCAGUUGCUACCAGCUUAGUGUUGGGCACACUGGGGAGACCGCCGCCGAUAAGGCGGAGGAA